RNAcentral lists this unclassified non-coding RNA (378 nucleotides) under uncultured bacterium. Its description in RNAcentral is "contains 16S-23S intergenic spacer region". The record is from RNAcentral.
UCCGAGUUGACCCCGGCAGUCUCCUAUGAGUCCCCGCCAUAACGCGCUGGCAACAUAGAACGAGGGUUGCGCUCGUUGCGGGACUUAACCCAACAUCUCACGACACGAGCUGACGACAACCAUGCACCACCUGUGAACCGACCGCAAGCGGGGCACCUGUUUCCACCCCGGUCCACUGCGCUUCGAGCCCAGGUAAGGUUCUUCGCGUUGCAUCGAAUUAAUCCACAUCAUCCACCGCUUGUGCGGGUCCCCGUCAAUUCCUUUGAGUUUUAAUCUUGCGACCGUACUCCCCAGGCGGUCAACUUCACGCGUUAGCUUCGUUACUGAAGGAUUUCACUCCUCCAACAACCAGUUGACAUCGUUUAGGGCGUGGACUAC